Molecule: long non-coding RNA, 388 nt
Organism: Nerophis ophidion (straightnose pipefish)
Lineage: Eukaryota; Metazoa; Chordata; Actinopteri; Syngnathiformes; Syngnathidae
Exons: 3
Source: RefSeq, a predicted model, not a curated record
CACACUGCCUCUCGUCCGCUCGCUAGCAACUAGCAUGUAGGCUAUAAAUUUUGGUGCCACACCUGCAAAAUGCCCAAGCAACCUGUGGAGAGGCGGAGCCGGCAGUCAGACAGCGAGGCAGGGCACACCAGAGCCCGUUGCAAGAUGGCAGCGAGGAGGCUUAGACGGCAAGCAAGUGGGCGGCAGCUGUGGACGUGAGGAUAAGAGGCGGAGAGAAAAGAAGGAGCUAGAGGGAAGCUGACGCUGAGCGAGAGAGACUGAGAGCUCAAGGAAGAAGACGACGCAAGAAGCUGAAAAGCCUGGGGGGACGAGCGAGCAGGGAAGGGGAAGGCUGAAAAGCAGCCCGGCAAGAGACGUUCUUAUUGAAAAAUAAAGAAGUCUAAACCUG